AUGGUAGUUGUUGAAACAAUUUUUUUGCUGCAAGAAGCAAAAUGUAUGUGUAAUAAUAUCGGUAAAAGAAUUGUAUGGGUCUUCCCUACUAUUUUGAUUAAAAAAUCAGUAAAAGAAGCCACACUAGCCAUGGUUGAAGCACACAUGGAAUUUGUUGGACCAAAAUGUCUAUAUCAUAAAAGAAGCGUACAUGGGCAAUGGUUGAAGCAAAAGUUUACUACCAUGGAAACAUGUACAAAUAAGGAUCACUGGAAGAAGCAAAAAGUAUGUACAACAACUGUAGUCAAAGAAGCAACACCAGUCGUGGCUGAAGCGUACACGAAUAGUGAUUGA
RNAcentral lists this ribosomal RNA (333 nucleotides) under Triticum aestivum (bread wheat). RNAcentral describes it as "partial small subunit ribosomal RNA". Lineage: Eukaryota; Viridiplantae; Streptophyta; Magnoliopsida; Poales; Poaceae. The record is from RNAcentral.